AUUGAACGCUGGCGGCAUGCCUUACACAUGCAAGUCGAACGGCAGCGGGGGAGAAGCUUGCUUUUCCUGCCGGCGAGUGGCGAACGGGUGAGUAGUACAUCGGAACGUGCCCUGUAGUGGGGGAUAACUAGUCGAAAGAUUAGCUAAUACCGCAUACGACCUGAGGGUGAAAGUGGGGGACCGCAAGGCCUCAUGCUAUAGGAGCGGCCGAUGUCUGAUUAGCUAGUUGGUGGGGUAAAGGCCUACCAAGGCGACGAUCAGUAGCUGGUCUGAGAGGACGAUCAGCCACACUGGGACUGAGACACGGCCCAGAUUCCUACGGGAGGCAGCAGUGGGGAAUUUUGGACAAUGGGCGAAAGCCUGAUCCAGCAAUGCCGCGUGUGUGAAGAAGGCCUUCGGGUUGUAAAGCACUUUUGUCCGGAACGAAAUGGCUCUGGUUAAUACCUGGGGUCGAUGACGGUACCGGAAGAAUAAGGACCGGCUAACUACGUGCCAGCCGCCGCCGUAA
Molecule: ribosomal RNA, 508 nt
Filed under: uncultured bacterium
Lineage: Bacteria
Description: partial 16S ribosomal RNA
Rfam family: Bacterial small subunit ribosomal RNA
Source: RNAcentral